This 332-nucleotide long non-coding RNA is filed under the name Panax ginseng (ginseng). RNAcentral's name for it is "long non-coding RNA (PGIN_LNC012616)". Lineage: Eukaryota; Viridiplantae; Streptophyta; Magnoliopsida; Apiales; Araliaceae. The record is from RNAcentral.
UUUUCUUUAAUUUUUGUUAUAAAAUCUAUAUUUUUGUUAAAGUGGAUAUUUUUGGGUGUUCUAGAAAAUAUUUUGUACCAAUACCUCUAUUUAGUAAUAACCUCUCAAUUAGAAUACAAAUAGUUUGGUCCCAAGUCUAUUCUUAAAUAGAGGUUUUACUGUAACUCCAAAGGUCAUUAUUAUACCAAUUCACAUUUCCUGGUGAUAAUUAUGUCAAUCAACAGUUCCUUUUUACACCCAGGCCAAAGAGUACUUUCACCACGUAUGUUUGUCACACAGGCUAAAGACACUAAACAAUCAUUUUGUCUUUGCACCCAAGCUAAAGAAAUUCU